UAUUUAACCUUGCAGACUAAAGUCUGUUUAUCCACAGUACAGGAAUGGCACAGGCAGUGAUCUCUGAAACUCUGCCCUGUCAAUGUGCCCCCAAAAUGAUCUGGAGGACUACUUACAGAGGAGAAAAGAAUAAUUUGGUCUCCAUCCUUGGUCUUUCUGUUGCGACU
This 167-nucleotide small RNA is filed under the name Chrysemys picta bellii (western painted turtle). Its description in RNAcentral is "TUC338 (ENSCPBG00000003796.1)". The record is from RNAcentral. Lineage: Eukaryota; Metazoa; Chordata; Testudines; Emydidae.